GAAAAUGACGGACAUGUCAGGAUAGAUUAUCUCGAUAUAUCGUGUUAUAUCGUGGCAUCUCGAAAAUUAUUAAGACGACACGCCAGAACUGAUUCUUGUCUUGUUGACAAAGUUUCUACCACUGGUCAUAAUUUAUGCUACGCUUACCUAAAUUUACUCGAUUGUUGACAUAACUGGUGUCAUACAAAAUUGUUUCACACAGGAAAAUAGGACGGCAUGCUACAUAAUCAAAUAGACAUCAUGAAUAUGUGAAUAACGUUCUAUUUUAUGUUAAUAUACUGUGAUAUACCUUGUUUUCUUGUAAAAUAUUUACACGUCGUGAGCAGAUACCUUGUAUUAUUUAAAGAAAAUUAAGCAAAAUGUCGGUAGUUUUGUAUUAGCUUUGGAAUUCUGCCGUUUUUGUUGGAAGCAAUGGCUGCAUAAAACUACGUUAUAUGUUUGCCUGUUCUUUUGUGAAAGCUGUGUUGCCUGGUUUGGUGUCAACAAGUUCAAAGAUGUGUUAGUUACUUAAUAUUUCCGGCUUGGAUAUUUACAUGGAAAGUUACAGUUUAGUUUAUUUUUUACACAUAACAUUGUGGUAACUCUUCGACAUGCAAGACAAACUGUCGGGCGCCUUGGGGUGAGGAGAUAUAGGGCUGGUUCUACGUCACCAUAUGUAAUAAAUGAAGUUAGAAAGCUUUGCAACAGAUGGCAUAAUAUGGAGCAUGUUUAAGUCAUCAGACAGAGUGAAAGAAUCGCAAGAAAUAGCCAGGCAUAUAUUAAGGACCAUGGAUACAUUGAUGUGAUUUCAAAACGUCUGUUACACAGACCUACAUAUAUCAAAAGUGGGCAUGCAUUUAGACGAUCACCUAAAUGUUAAAACUUUUGGAAUUUCAGUGCAUAUGGCUAUACAAUGUAGGUGGAAAACUCAGGAAAAGUACUUAGGUUACGAGUAUCUUAAAAAGAUCUGCCAAAGAUUGGCUGACUAUAUUAAGUCUAUACUUUUAAGUUCCGAGAGUUGUUCGUGCAGUUAUUGCAUCAGAUUUUCAAAUGGCAUUAAGACACUAUUAUGGUGAUAGUAUUUCGGAUAGAACGAGCAUUUUAAAUAGACAGGAGAUCCAAAAAACAAGGAAAAACACUCGCACACCACACACACUCAAACACAAAAUAAACACACAAGCACAAAACAAACAAAUACAGGAAAACAAUGGGGCACCACCUUUGGAUGGUCAGUGGCAAAACCACCACCGGGGAGUUUAAACUGAUUUACCUCAUUCUUACCCCACCAUGUUCCAGAGUCACAAGACAGUUAUCCCCGUCAGGUGAAACCCUAACAUACGUAAAGGCAGCAGAAGGAUACUUUUUUGCAAGUGCUCGAAAACAAACUGAUUCAUUUGGACAAAGAAAAGUUUGAAUAGUCAAGUAACAGUGCAAAACAAUGUACCUUAACUGGUUGUAGAUCUAUAUAUGUAAUGCUUCUUUUAGAAAUAUGCAAGACUACCGUUUAGUGUCAGAAUUAGUUGUCUUCCUUGAACACUAUCACUAACAUUGCAAGAGAUGCUAACUAAUAUGAAAUGUUAAAAAUAUGGUGAACAAUCUAAUUAUAAUAAUUGGCUAUUUUGUAGUACCACUAUAUGUUGUAUAGUUUUUUUCUUUCACAGAUGUUUUUCAAAUUCACAUAUAUGUUAGGAAAAUUUGUGCUGAAAACAAUGAACAAAUAAAAACAAUGGGUCACCAGGCUUGUUUUUGUGAAAAAAAUGUUUUGAAAACACCCAAUGUUGCUGAAACUGAUAGCGACUUUUCAACAUUUUCAUGAUUGUUUGCUUUUUUUAUAAAUACAAACCAAAGUAUGCAUAAAGACAGCACAAUAAGGUUAAAUCUUUUUACAUAUUCUAUUAUAUACUUAUUUCAUAUCAUAGUCAUAUUUGUAAUACAAUAUCAUUAUAAUUAUGCGUACAAAUAGAUGAAAAUCUGGUUUCAUAUUCACUUUUGUGAACUUUUUUUAAAGUGGAAAUAUGAGCAUUUUUCAAGUACAAAAUCAGCUGAAAUAGAUGUGUGUGUAAAAAGGGUGGAGGAAAUUAUAGCUUUUAACCCAAUAAACCAAACUCGUCCGUUACCAGUACGAAAUAAUAACUUUCCAAAUAUGACUUUUCUUAUUUUGACUGGGGCAGUCUUUUUUUGAAAAGUCAAACUGCACGCAGGAGUUGUUUCCCUUCAACUAUAGAAAUCUCCACCUUUAGGUAAGGGAAAUCACUACGUAGAAGAUUGCAGAAAAGAACUAUAAUUUCAUUUGUCCGAUAACCUUAUUUCUAAAGCAUCAACUUCAAUUAUUUAUGCGGCAUUAUCGUUAAUUUAACGCAUUUAAAAGUACAGCAACCGAAAAUUGCUUUUAUAAAACAUUCCCCCCAAAAACACAGUAUGUGCAGUAAGAUGCGCAUAAUGCCACUUUAAUGGAAAAUACUCAUAGUAAAGAACUUUAUUUUUUUUUUAAUUUUGAAAAAGCUGUUUCUAGAAAUUUUUUCCUGUUUUCAUUGUGAAUAAACAAUUGAAUUGUUAAAAUAAAAAUGGAAAAAAAAGUAUGGGUCACCGGGCUAAAUUUUAUGUUAAGGCCGCUUGAAUGCAACACCUGUGCGGACGAAAAAUGGCGCGAACCUGACUAAGUUGAUUACAUGUAUAUCUGCCAGAAGCUAAAAAGAAGUUUAAAAAUUCUUAAUUCUUUCUGUAAUUGAAUACUGAAUAAUCUGAAAGGCUAUUUUGUCUUAUUAAUACAAAGUUAACUUAAAUGUCUAACACUAUAUAAACAGCACUGUCUUUGUACUAACGUGCGCUGUCAAAAUACAGCCACAAAAAUGGCAAGAUACAUGUGAGGCAUGAUUCAUGCCAAUACAACAUAAACCAGUAUCAACAUUUGAUUACUGAUAAAACUUAUUAAAAAUAUUAUUUUAUUCAAGAUUCCUCACAUUUAAGAUUGUCUGUAACAUGUUUCAAGAAAUGUUGACUUCACUUCAAUUUUCCAUAGAUGGUGUAGGCUGCGCAGAAACAUGCGCAUAAAAAAACUACCGGAAUUCCCUUUAAAUGUGCUUUGAUUUUUCUUUUAAAUGUGAUGCUUGAAUUUUAUAUUGUUACAUGUUGCACAAAACUGUAUAAGGCAGAUAAAAUGAAACCACCGCUUAUGACUGAACUGUUAUUCAGUAAAUAAACAAUAGAAAUUUG
Mercenaria mercenaria is the source of this 3192-nucleotide long non-coding RNA. RefSeq lists it as uncharacterized. The transcript has 2 exons. NCBI's taxonomy places the organism in Eukaryota, Metazoa, Mollusca, Bivalvia, Venerida, Veneridae. The record is from RefSeq and is a predicted model, not a curated record.